RNAcentral lists this ribosomal RNA (469 nucleotides) under Salmonella enterica subsp. arizonae. RNAcentral's name for it is "bacterial SSU rRNA". It matches the Rfam family "Bacterial small subunit ribosomal RNA", at positions 1 to 465 of the family's 1533-position model. Lineage: Bacteria; Pseudomonadati; Pseudomonadota; Gammaproteobacteria; Enterobacterales; Enterobacteriaceae. The record is from RNAcentral.
AAAUUGAAGAGUUUGAUCAUGGCUCAGAUUGAACGCUGGCGGCAGGCCUAACACAUGCAAGUCGAACGGUAACAGGAAGCAGCUUGCUGCUUUGCUGACGAGUGGCGGACGGGUGAGUAAUGUCUGGGAAACUGCCUGAUGGAGGGGGAUAACUACUGGAAACGGUAGCUAAUACCGCAUAAUGUCGCAGGACCAAAGAGGGGGACCUUCGGGCCUCUUGCCAUCAGAUGUGCCCAGAUGGGAUUAGCUUGUUGGUGAGGUAACGGCUCACCAAGGCGACGAUCCCUAGCUGGUCUGAGAGGAUGACCAGCCACACUGGAACUGAGACACGGUCCAGACUCCUACGGGAGGCAGCAGUGGGGAAUAUUGCACAAUGGGCGCAAGCCUGAUGCAGCCAUGCCGCGUGUAUGAAGAAGGCCUUCGGGUUGUAAAGUACUUUCAGCGGGGAGGAAGGGGAUAAGGCUAAUAA